UACAGAGGUCUCAAGCGUUGUUCGGAUUCAUUGGGCGUAAAGGGUGCGUAGGCGGCGCGGUAAGUCGGGUGUGAAAUCUCGGAGCUUAACUCCGAAACUGCAUUCGAUACUGCCGUGCUUGAGGACUGGAGAGGAGACUGGAAUUUACGGUGUAGCGGUGAAAUGCGUAGAUAUCGUAAGGAAGACCAGUGGCGAAGGCGGGUCUCUGGGCCGAUACUGACGCUGAUGCACGAAAGCGUGGGGAGCAAACAGG
RNAcentral lists this ribosomal RNA (253 nucleotides) under uncultured bacterium. Its description in RNAcentral is "partial 16S ribosomal RNA". It matches the Rfam family "Bacterial small subunit ribosomal RNA", at positions 524 to 776 of the family's 1533-position model. The record is from RNAcentral.